This 537-nucleotide ribosomal RNA is filed under the name Lodderomyces orthopsilosis. RNAcentral's name for it is "eukaryotic LSU rRNA". The stretch from base 197 to 350 matches the Rfam family "5.8S ribosomal RNA". The record is from RNAcentral. Lineage: Eukaryota; Fungi; Ascomycota; Pichiomycetes; Serinales; Debaryomycetaceae.
UGGAAGUAAAAGUCGUAACAAGGUUUCCGUAGGUGAACCUGCGGAAGGGUCAUUACAGAAUGAAAGUGCUUAACUGCAUUUUUUUACACAUGUGUUUUUCUUUUUUUUUGAAAACUUUGCUUUGGUGGGCCCAUGGCCUGCCAGAGAUUAAACUCAACCAAAUUUUAUUUAAGUCAACUGAUUAACUAAUAGUCAAAACUUUCAACAACGGAUCUCUUGGUUCUCGCAUCGAUGAAGAACGCAGCGAAAUGCGAUAAGUAAUAUGAAUUGCAGAUAUUCGUGAAUCAUCGAAUCUUUGAACGCACAUUGCGCCCUUUGGUAUUCCAAAGGGCAUGCCUGUUUGAGCGUCAUUUCUCCCUCAAACCUUCGGGUUUGGUGUUGAGCGAUACGCUGGGUUUGCUUGAAAGAAAGGCGGAGUAUAAACUAAUGGAUAGGUUUUUUUCCACUCAUUGGUACAAACUCCAAAAUUCUUCCAAAUUCGACCUCAAAUCAGGUAGGACUACCCGCUGAACUUAAGCAUAUCAAUAAGCGGAGGAA